RNAcentral lists this ribosomal RNA (250 nucleotides) under uncultured bacterium. RNAcentral's name for it is "partial 16S ribosomal RNA". It matches the Rfam family "Bacterial small subunit ribosomal RNA", at positions 528 to 779 of the family's 1533-position model. The record is from RNAcentral.
CGUAGGGCGAGCGUUGUCCGGAAUCAUUGGGCGUAAAGAGCGUGUAGGCGGCCCGGUAAGUCCGCUGUGAAACCCGGGCUCAACCCCGGGCGUGCAGUGGAAACUGCCGGGCUAGAGGGCGGCAGAGGCGAGUGGAAUUCCCGGUGUAGCGGUGAAAUGCGCAGAUAUCGGGAGGAACACCGGUAGCGAAGGCGGCUCGCUGGGCCGUUCCUGACGCUGAGACGCGAAAGCUAGGGGAGCGAACAGGAUU